Molecule: long non-coding RNA, 434 nt
Filed under: Carica papaya (papaya)
Lineage: Eukaryota; Viridiplantae; Streptophyta; Magnoliopsida; Brassicales; Caricaceae
Description: long non-coding RNA (CPAP_LNC015919)
Source: RNAcentral
UCCACACCCAACCCCAAACUCUAGCCGCCAGAACCCUCGCCGGAGAAGACGACCCAGCCACCAGAGGAACGGGCCGCUGCACUAGAGGAUUUUCUGGCUGUCAAACGAGGUAAAAUUUCUCUCAUUGGCUCGUUUUUCGAUGCUGAACCUCCCUGUGGCCAAAUCGGAGCCAAACCACUGGUCGAUUGGCCGAAAAACACCGUCAAAGUCCAGCGGCGCCACUGCGGGUUUCUUCAGUUUUUGCCUCCGAUGAGGCCCUUUCCAGUUCCCGUUCGAUGUAAUUUUUAUACCACUGUGACCACCAUCCUUUUCUCUACAGGUUGACCGGAGCAAAAUACCAAAUCGCAACUCACGUCGGAGGAGCCACCGUACCCAAGAGCUUCGCCGCCAGUAAGUCUCGGUUUUCUGGAAUUUUUUGGCCUACCGAGGGCCCU